UCCCUCUUAGCUCAGUGGUAGAGCGCUUCACUAGUAUCACCUGAUGUUGUGGUUAUGAAGAGGUCAGUCGUUCAAGUCGGCUAGAGGGAA
Molecule: non-coding RNA, 90 nt
Organism: Marasmius sp. AFHP31
Lineage: Eukaryota; Fungi; Basidiomycota; Agaricomycetes; Agaricales; Marasmiaceae
Source: the annotation of a GenBank genome assembly